Homalodisca vitripennis (glassy-winged sharpshooter) is the source of this 373-nucleotide long non-coding RNA. RefSeq lists it as uncharacterized. Lineage: Eukaryota; Metazoa; Arthropoda; Insecta; Hemiptera; Cicadellidae. The transcript has 3 exons. The record is from RefSeq and is a predicted model, not a curated record.
UUCAGGUAUUGACCAACUUCACACAACUCUGUCGGGAGGAAAUAUUUGUUCGUCAUGUCAAAGCAGUUGAAACAAUUGAAUCUAAGGUAGAUGAAUUUGCAGUGCCAGCUGAUGUGUCAACAGAAACAACUUUUGGAUCAGGAGCAGAGCCGAGAACAGUUAAAAGAAACUAUGAACAGAUUAGAGGCUGCUCGAAAACUAGCUCAGAAAUAAACAUAUUGAGUUAAGUGAAAGGUUGAAGGAGACUUUAGAAAAUCUUCAGCAACAAUGUAAAACUAAAACUUUGGCAGAAAGAAAAAUGGCACAAGAUUUAAAGAAUUAUGAAAAUAAGGCUAAGAACCUUAACGUGUGCCUUGUAGAAACUUCUUCAAAA